AAAGGGUUUGAGAAAAAUAACUUCAGGAUAAAUGAAACAUAGUUUGACCUAAAAUACAAUGUUUUUCUACUUUGAGCAUUUUUAUUCAUAUUUAAUUUACUAGAAAGUAAAUCUGAAGGAAUUAUCAAAACAGCUGAAAUGUAUUUCAUUUUGAAAAAAGCAGAAGUGAAACAAUUCAUUUCCUUGAAAAAGCUUUUUAUUUUUUUCUGAAUAGACAAUUCAAACUCAGCAUCAAUUCACAAAAUGUUUCAGUAUUACUGAAGCUACAUGAGUUAGUAAAAGAAGUUUCUGCCAGAAAUAAUUCUCUUGGCUGUUCAUGUAAAUUGCUUUCCAGGUGGGAAGAAGAGGAGAGAGGGUAGAAGGGGGAUGCAAAUAGUCCAAAAGUAGAUAGUACUGGCAGGCCCUGUUAUCCACCUUCUCUGGUGAGGGUCCUUAGGGGCCCAGGCCUUGGUUUUGGCAGGACUCUUAGGGAAAAUGAAUCUGCCUGGGGCUCCCAGCCUGUAUGGUGCACAGAUGGAGGUGUCCUGAGCCGAUGCAAGAAAGUCAAAACCUCUUGUUCUGAAAAGUCUUUAAUCUGGUGGGAAAGAGACCUCCAUAUGGAUACUGAAUGGCACCUGAGAUGCAGCCCUGACUCAGGACAAACUCCAGAGAGCAGAACCUCCCCUCCUGUUUCUUCUCGGUCAGCUCCUGAUGCACCAGCCUCUCUCCACUGACAGUGGAGGGACUGAGGGUCUUGAGUCAGUGCUCUGCACGAUUCUGCUAGGACAGUGUAACUACUGCCUUGGUACUGCACCCAAAGUACAGCUCUGAUGAAACCCUUCAACUUCACCCCAAAUUUCUAGACCACUUUGCAUUUGAUUUUCAAUCCAUGCUUUAGCCUGUUUCUGCCUCUUAUGUUUUUGAUUUUCCUAAAAGUCAUAUUUGCUCUCUUUGCAAGGCCAUUGCCAAAGAGCUAUUUGAUGCUGCUAAUACAGGGGGGCAAAAACAUUCCUCCCCCCCCCCAAAAAAAGAGAUUCCCACAUUCUUAAGGGCAGAAUAUCUCAUCUCUAAAACCUUAUCUGCCCAUGAACUGAAUAGCCUUGAAGAGUGUUAACCAUCUUAAUGUGGAAAUGCUUAUUUCUGGAAAGAAGAACUUGUCUUCAGAGGCACCUUCAUGCUAAUAUGAUGGAAACCAUAAGGGUGUGUGUGGUAUAAAUGAACCAGUAAGAAUAAAGCCUUACCUCGCUACA
This 1229-nucleotide long non-coding RNA is filed under the name Apteryx owenii (little spotted kiwi). RNAcentral's name for it is "lncRNA (ENSAOWG00000015334.1)". Lineage: Eukaryota; Metazoa; Chordata; Aves; Apterygiformes; Apterygidae. The record is from RNAcentral.